GGUUGAGGUGGAUGAAAGAAAAUGAUGGAUGACUAAUAACAAGAAAAUGGAGAAUGACUAAAGAGAGAGGGUUUCUCCUAAGGGAUAUACCCAGUGUGUGGGUUGUUCUUUUUUUUCUUCUGCUUCCUCCUCCUUUUAUGAUCCUAAGGUAGCUUACUUUUCAUGCUGACCUCGCGCAUAAUGCGGAUUUUCACGCUAAGCGCACCUUUGGGCUUCUUCGUGGGCCUUAUGCACGCUAAGCCUGCAGUGCGCGCUUAGCCUAUAGCACGCUAAGCCUCCGAUUCUUCCAACUUUUUCUUUAAAGUCUUUUCUUCCAAUUU
Molecule: long non-coding RNA, 320 nt
Filed under: Glycine max (soybean)
Lineage: Eukaryota; Viridiplantae; Streptophyta; Magnoliopsida; Fabales; Fabaceae
Description: long non-coding RNA (GMAX_LNC001139)
Source: RNAcentral